This 492-nucleotide ribosomal RNA is filed under the name uncultured bacterium. RNAcentral's name for it is "partial 16S ribosomal RNA". It matches the Rfam family "Bacterial small subunit ribosomal RNA", at positions 29 to 507 of the family's 1533-position model. The record is from RNAcentral.
AGUGAACGCUGGCGGUAGGCCUAACACAUGCAAGUCGAACGGCAGCACAGUAAGAGCUUGCUCUUACGGGUGGCGAGUGGCGGACGGGUGAGGAAUACAUCGGAAUCUACUUUUUCGUGGGGGAUAACGUAGGGAAAUUUACGCUAAUACCGCAUACGACCUACGGGUGAAAGCAGGGGAUCUUCGGACCUUGUGCGAUUGAAUGAGCCGAUGUCGGAUUAGCUAGUUGGCGGGGUAAAGGCCCACCAAGGCGACGAUCCGUAGCUGGUCUGAGAGGAUGAUCAGCCACACUGGAACUGAGACACGGUCCAGACUCCUACGGGAGGCAGCAGUGGGGAAUAUUGGACAAUGGGCGCAAGCCUGAUCCAGCCAUACCGCGUGGGUGAAGAAGGCCUUCGGGUUGUAAAGCCCUUUUGUUGGGAAAGAAAAGCAGCAGGUUAAUACCCCGCUGUUCUGACGGUACCCAAAGAAUAAGCACCGGCUAACUUCGUG